AUACGUAGGGUGCGAGCGUUAAUCGGAAUUACUGGGCGUAAAGCGUGCGCAGGCGGUUUUGUAAGACAGUGGUGAAAUCCCCGGGCUCAACCUGGGAACUGCCAUUGUGACUGCAAGGCUGGAGUGCGGCAGAGGGGGAUGGAAUUCCGCGUGUAGCAGUGAAAUGCGUAAGUAUGCGGAGGAACACCGAUGGAGAAGGCAAUCCCCGGGGCCUGCACUGACGCUCAUGCACGAACGCGUGGGGAGCAAACAGGAUUAGAUACCCAGGUAGUCCACGCCCUAAACGAUGUCAACUGGUUGUUGGGAAUUUAUUUUCUCAGUAACGAAGCUAACGCGUGAAGUUGACCGCCUGGGGAGUACGGCCGCAAGGUUAAAACUCAAAGGAAGUGACGGGG
Molecule: ribosomal RNA, 395 nt
Filed under: uncultured bacterium
Lineage: Bacteria
Description: partial 16S ribosomal RNA
Rfam family: Bacterial small subunit ribosomal RNA
Source: RNAcentral